Molecule: ribosomal RNA, 596 nt
Filed under: uncultured bacterium
Lineage: Bacteria
Description: bacterial SSU rRNA
Rfam family: Bacterial small subunit ribosomal RNA
Source: RNAcentral
CCUACGGGAGGCAGCAGUAGGGAAUUUUCCGCAAUGGGCGAAAGCCUGACGGAGCAAUACCGCGUGAGGGAAGAAUGCCUACGGGUUGUAAACCUCUUUUUUCAGGGAGGAACAUAAUGACGUGUACCUGAAGAAUAAGCAUCGGCUAACUCCGUGCCAGCAGCCGCGGUAAGACGGAGGAUGCAAGUGUUAUCCGGAAUCACUGGGCGUAAAGCGUCUGUAGGUGGUUUAAUAAGUCAACUGUUAAAUCUUGAGGCUCAACCUCAAAAUCGCAGUCGAAACUAUUAGACUAGAGUAUAGUAGGGGUAAAGGGAAUUUCCAGUGGAGCGGUGAAAUGCGUAGAGAUUGGAAAGAACACCGAUGGCGAAAGCACUUUACUAGGCUAUUACUGACACUCAGAGACGAAAGCUAGGGUAGCAAAUGGGAUUAGAUACCCCAGUAGUCCUAGCUGUAAACUAUGGAUACUAGAUGUUGAACAGAUCGACCUGUGCAGUAUCAAAGCUAACGCGUUAAGUAUCCCGCCUGGGAAGUAUGCUCGCAAGGGUGAAACUUAAAUGAAUUGACGGCUGAGAGNGCGACGACGACGACGAGGAGAG